RNAcentral lists this long non-coding RNA (266 nucleotides) under Theobroma cacao (cacao). RNAcentral describes it as "long non-coding RNA (TCAC_LNC000170)". The record is from RNAcentral. Lineage: Eukaryota; Viridiplantae; Streptophyta; Magnoliopsida; Malvales; Malvaceae.
CCGCCGUCACCAUGGUGAAGUUUCUUAAACCCAACAAGGCCGUCAUCGUCCUCCAAGGCAGAUAUGCCGGACGCAAAGCCGUGAUCGUGAAAUCCUUCGACGACGGCACACGUGAACGCGCAUACGGCCACUGUUUGGUUGCAGGGGUAAAGAAGUACCCAAGCAAGGUUAUUCGAAAGGACUCCGCCAAGAAAACAGCCAAGAAGUCACGCGUCAAGUGCUUCAUCAAGCUCGUGAAUUACCAGCAUCUGAUGCCCACGCGUUAC